Pelobates cultripes (western spadefoot toad) is the source of this 366-nucleotide non-coding RNA. The record is from the annotation of a GenBank genome assembly. NCBI's taxonomy places the organism in Eukaryota, Metazoa, Chordata, Amphibia, Anura, Pelobatidae.
GUAGCCAACACUGUUUUAUAUAAAUAUAUAUAUAUAUUUUAUUUUUUUAAUUUGGGUAACCCCCAAACUAUUGGGACAUAUAAAAAAAGACAACUCUGUUCUGCAGAGUAGCUGUUGACAUUAUAGUUGUGCAGGCACUUUGUUGACUCUAGAGAACCUCGAGCCAAUCGCACAUCCCCGUGACGGCGACUUUGCAUUCAGAUGUCAUCCAUAUCAACUUUCGAUGCCAGUUUCUGGGCCCUGGUGACUACGGGUAACAGGGAAUCAGGGUUCCAUUCCGUACAGGCACCCUGAGAAAUGGCUACCACAUGCAAUGAAGGCAGCAGGUGCGCAAAUUACCCAUUCCCGACGCGGGAAGGUAGUGAC